This 435-nucleotide ribosomal RNA is filed under the name Halamphora bistriata. RNAcentral's name for it is "SSU rRNA". It matches the Rfam family "Eukaryotic small subunit ribosomal RNA", at positions 606 to 1052 of the family's 1831-position model. Lineage: Eukaryota; Bacillariophyta; Bacillariophyceae; Naviculales; Amphipleuraceae. The record is from RNAcentral.
AUAUUAAAGGUUGUUGCAGUUACAAAGCUCGUAGUUGGAUUUGUGGUGGUCCCUGUGGUCCGAUUUCGGUACUUUCGGGGACUUCCAUCCUUGGGUGGAUCCUGUGUGGCAUUAGGUUGUCGCGCAGGGGAUGCCCAUCGUUUACUGUGAAAAAAUUAGAGUGUUCAAAGCAGGCUUACGCCGUUGAAUAUAUUAGCAUGGAAUAAUGAGAUAGGACCUUGGUACUAUUUUGUUGGUUUGCGCACCGAGGUAAUGAUUAAUAGGGACAGUUGUGGGUAUUCGUAUUCCAUUGUCAGAGGUGAAAUUCUUGGAUUUCUGGAAGACGAACUAAUGCGAAAGCAUUUACCAAGGAUGUUUUCAUUAAUCAAGAACGAAAGUUAGGGGAUCGAAGAUGAUUAGAUACCAUCGUAGUCGUCAUACUUUGUUUCCUGAUGA